GUGAUCAGUCUUAUCAAAUAUUGCUGAUAUAAGUAAGAUGAGGACUGAGAGUUUGAAUAUUGGAUUUGGCCUGAUGAAGGUUGCUGAUGACCUUGACGAAAGCAGUUUCAAUGGAGUUACAGGGGAGAAAGCCUGAUUAGGGCACAUUAACAGGAGAAUGGGAGAUGAGCCAACUCAUUUGCCUAAAUUGUCUCUGCCUGGAACAGUGCCUCCCAUGCCCUCUUCUAGACCCCAAAUCUGUUGACGUCCUUGAAGGCCUGUCUCAUAAUGUAGCUCCUACCUGGAACCUUUUGUGAUGUUUACUCUCCUCUGAAAUCCUGGUCUGUUUUUACUUCCCUUGUGGCAUUAUAUGCUGCCUCAUCGUGAGUUUUGUGUAAUCAUUUCAUGCCCAUUACUAAAUAUUCCUCCUUGCAAAUCACUUUAUGUUAGCGCCUCUUGCAGGGUCGGUCUCACUUUUUAUACAUAAGAGGUGCUCCUCAACUAGCUGCUGAAUUGAGUUAUAAACUUUCAUGGACUCUGAAGAGCAUCCUUGCCUCUCUCUCUAAGAGUAUGAUCGCUAACCCUCAAAGAGAAAGUCUUUAUACUCUGGGAGAAACAAAAAGAAAAAGAAACCGAAGAAGCUGAAAGGCAAUUAUUUCACAGCACUCCUGUUACAAUCGAGAAUUUCUUAAGUUGGAAGACCAAGUUUGAUGCCGAACUCUUGGAAAUUAAAAAGAAACGAAGGAAAGAAAGAAAAGCAGGGACAAAUAAAGUGGGAAACAGCCAUUUGAAACAGAUUAUAAUCUUGACACAUCUGCUAUCCAGUUCUUAGAGGAUGCUGGAAACAGUGUGGAGGUAGGCGAGACUGUGUUCCUGGAAGUGGAUGACUUGGAGCUGGAGGAUAAUGGGGAUGACCCAGACUACAAUCCUGCUGACCCGGAGAGUGGCUUGACUGACUAGUGGACUCUCCCCAUCUGCAGAGAGCCCUGACUGCCACAGCAUCCGCGGCUAUGCUGAAAGGGUGCGGAUUUUCCUUUCUUUUUUUUCCUAAGAAAAAAUAGUUUUCAGGGAAAUAUUCUUCUCAUAGCUUUUAUCAUUGAACUUAAUAAGCUGACUUUAAAAUUAAAAACAAAAACAAAACCAUGAGAUUUCCUAAGAUGAGAUUUAAACUUUUGAAGAGAAACGGACUGUCUUUCU
This 1176-nucleotide long non-coding RNA is filed under the name Equus asinus (donkey). Its description in RNAcentral is "lncRNA (ENSEASG00005026239.1)". Lineage: Eukaryota; Metazoa; Chordata; Mammalia; Perissodactyla; Equidae. The record is from RNAcentral.